GAGACUCAAAGAUGAGCUGAGAGAUUUUCCUUCAAAAUGGAGGACACUGUCACAAACAUGAGAGGUUAAAGAAGGCUGACUUGGAAGAGGAAAAAGGCCCAAGUCAUUCCUGACUCUCAUCUGGGAAACUCUUCAGAGACAUGCAGAGGAUGUACUGAUUGCUCUGACCUCCUCUCGUAAACAGGCAUUCUACUGGAACGUGUAAGAUAAUUUUUGCCAUCUGUCAUUUUCUUCUUCUUGAGAAAGGAGGAGAAUUACUGAGAAACAAGAAAAUGGUUUCUAGAAGAAAAUUCAGGACCUAGAAACAGUUAAUAUAAGUUGUAUCCUUGGGAAUUUCCAAGCAUACCAAAUGACUACCAGGCAAGAGAAUGUUAAGCUAUACCAGACAAUUUAAUCACCUGCAUCCAGGAUAUGAAAUCCAGAAGUUUCAAUACUAUUAGCAGACUCUGACCAUCAGAAUUUUUUUUUUUUUAUACAACUUACAUUUCUCUCAUGAGAGUUUAAGUCUGCUUCCUUGUCUUAUACUCAGGGAAGAUGAAAGGCAGGUAACAUAUCCUGUAAAAUAAUUAACUGUAAGGUUGUUAAGUUAUUCUCCUGCCUUUGCUAUUGCAGUUUAAGUAAACAGUAAAUUAGUUUAAACUUUUCCUACAUCAUUACUUUAGUUAAUGAAUUCUAUUUCUUAGAGC
This 686-nucleotide long non-coding RNA is filed under the name Homo sapiens (human). RNAcentral's name for it is "novel transcript, antisense to VWC2L". The record is from RNAcentral. Lineage: Eukaryota; Metazoa; Chordata; Mammalia; Primates; Hominidae.